RNAcentral lists this ribosomal RNA (823 nucleotides) under uncultured Thermococcus sp. RNAcentral's name for it is "bacterial SSU rRNA". It matches the Rfam family "Archaeal small subunit ribosomal RNA", at positions 27 to 840 of the family's 1478-position model. The record is from RNAcentral. Lineage: Archaea; Methanobacteriati; Methanobacteriota; Thermococci; Thermococcales; Thermococcaceae.
CUGCUUCGGGGUCCGACUAANCCAUGCGAGUCAAGGGGGUGUCCCUCUGGGACACCACCGGCGGACGGCUCAGUAACACGUCGGUAACCUACCCUCGGGAGGGGGAUAACCCCGGGAAACUGGGGCUAAUCCCCCAUAGGCCUGAGGUACUGGAAGGUCCUCAGGCCGAAAGGGGCUUUUGCCCGCCCGAGGAUGGGCCGGCGGCCGAUUAGGUAGUUGGUGGGGUAACGGCCCACCAGGCCGAAGAUCGGUACGGGCUGUGAGAGCAGGAGCCCGGAGAUGGACACUGAGACACGGGUCCAGGCCCUACGGGGCGCAGCAGGCGCGAAACCUCCGCAAUGCGGGAAACCGCGACGGGGGGACCCCGAGUGCCGUGGCACCGCCACGGCUUUUCCGGAGUGUAAAAAGCUCCGGGAAUAAGGGCUGGGCAAGGCCGGUGGCAGCCGCCGCGGUAAUACCGGCGGCCCGAGUGGUGGCCGCUAUUAUUGGGCCUAAAGCGUCCGUAGCCGGGCCCGUAAGUCCCUGGCGAAAUCCCACGGCUCAACCGUGGGGCUUGCUGGGGAUACUGCGGGCCUUGGGACCGGGAGAGGCGGGGGGUACCCCUGGGGUAGGGGUGAAAUCCUAUAAUCCCAGGGGGACCGCCAGUGGCGAANGCGCCCCGCUGGAACGGGUCCGACGGUGAGGGACGAAGGCCAGGGGAGCAAACCNGAUUAGAUACCCCGGGUAGUCCUGGCUGUAAAGGAUGCNGGCUAGGUGUCNGGUGAGCUUCGAGCUCGCCCCGUGCCGUANGGAAGCCGUUUAACCCCGCCGCCUGGGAGUCCGG